This 166-nucleotide ribosomal RNA is filed under the name Dahlstedtia pinnata. RNAcentral's name for it is "5.8S ribosomal RNA". It matches the Rfam family "5.8S ribosomal RNA". Rfam says of the family: 5.8S ribosomal RNA (5.8S rRNA) is a component of the large subunit of the eukaryotic ribosome. It is transcribed by RNA polymerase I as part of the 45S precursor that also contains 18S and 28S rRNA. Functionally, it is thought that 5.8S rRNA may be involved in ribosome translocation. Lineage: Eukaryota; Viridiplantae; Streptophyta; Magnoliopsida; Fabales; Fabaceae. The record is from RNAcentral. RNAcentral also lists the same sequence under 3 other names.
CGCAAAAUGACUCUCGGCAACGGAUAUCUCGGCUCUUGCAUCGAUGAAGAACGUAGCGAAAUGCGAUACUUGGUGUGAAUUGCAGAAUCCCGUGAACCAUCGAGUCUUUGAACGCAAGUUGCGCCCGAAGCCAUUAGGCCGAGGGCACGCCUGCCUGGGUGUCACA